This 497-nucleotide ribosomal RNA is filed under the name uncultured bacterium. RNAcentral's name for it is "partial 16S ribosomal RNA". It matches the Rfam family "Bacterial small subunit ribosomal RNA", at positions 28 to 507 of the family's 1533-position model. The record is from RNAcentral.
GAUGAACGCUGGCGGCGUGCCUAAUACAUGCAAGUCGAGCGAACAGACGAGGAGCUUGCUCCUCUGACGUUAGCGGCGGACGGGUGAGUAACAAGUGGAUAACCUACUUAUAAGACUGGGAUAACUUCGGGAAACCGGAGCUAAUACCGGAUAAUAUAUUGAACCGCAUGGUUCAAUAGUGAAAGACGGUUUUGCUGUCACUUAUAGAUGGAUCCGCGUCGCAUUAGCUAGUUGGUAAGGUAACGGCUUACCAAGGCGACGAUGCGUAGCCGACCUGAGAGGGUGAUCGGCCACACUGGAACUGAGACACGGUCCAGACUCCUACGGGAGGCAGCAGUAGGGAAUCUUCCGCAAUGGGCGAAAGCCUGACGGAGCAACGCCGCGUGAGUGAUGAAGGUCUUCGGAUCGUAAAACUCUGUUAUUAGGGAAGAACAAAUGUGGAAUUAACUAUGCACGUCUUGACGGUACCUAAUCAGAAAGCCACGGCUAACUACGUG